CGGGCGUUCGCGGGAGAGUGAGGCAGGGCCCGCUCAAAUCGUAGGCGGCGCAAGCCGACGGUUCGAUUUGAGCAACAAGGACCCGGCUUCCGCCGAAGGAGCAACCGCCCCGGAAUCUCUCAGGUCAAAGGACCGCGACCGCCUG
Molecule: non-coding RNA, 145 nt
Filed under: Sphingomonas changbaiensis
Lineage: Bacteria; Pseudomonadati; Pseudomonadota; Alphaproteobacteria; Sphingomonadales; Sphingomonadaceae
Also listed under: 1 other name
Description: Glycine sequence
Rfam family: Glycine riboswitch aptamer
About the family: This family represents the bacterial glycine riboswitch. Glycine riboswitches usually consist of two metabolite-binding aptamers domains with similar structures in tandem.
Source: RNAcentral